UCGAGAAUAUUCGACAAUGGACGAAAGUCUGAUCGAGCGACGCCGCGUGCGGGAAGAAGGCCUUCGGGUCGUAAACCGCGGUAGAUAGGUAACAAUGUAAAUGAGUGCCUAUCGGAAAGAGGUGGGUAACUACGUGCCAGCACCAGCGGUAAUACGUAGACCUCAAGCGUUAUCCGGAUUUAUUGGGCGUAAAGCGCGUGCAGGAGGCUUUGUGCGUCUGUGGUUAAAGCUCACCGCCUAACGGUGAAACUGCCAUGGAUACGGCGAAGCUGGAGGAGGUUAGAGGUGCAUGGAGCGCACGGUGUAGGGGUGAAAUCCGUUGAUAUCGUGCGAAACACCAAAGGCGAAGGCAGUGCACUGGGACCUUCCUGACUCUAAGACGCGAAAGCGUGGGGAGCAAAAAGG
Molecule: ribosomal RNA, 405 nt
Filed under: uncultured bacterium
Lineage: Bacteria
Description: bacterial SSU rRNA
Rfam family: Bacterial small subunit ribosomal RNA
Source: RNAcentral